This 472-nucleotide ribosomal RNA is filed under the name uncultured bacterium. RNAcentral's name for it is "bacterial SSU rRNA". It matches the Rfam family "Bacterial small subunit ribosomal RNA", at positions 329 to 793 of the family's 1533-position model. The record is from RNAcentral.
UGCCAGACUCCUACGGGAGGCAGCAGUGGGGAAUAUUGCGCAAUGGGCGAAAGCCUGACGCAGCGACGCCGCGUGAGGGAUGAAGGUCUUCGGAUCGUAAACCUCUGUCAGCAGGGAAGAACGGUCACUGUGCUAAUCAGCAGUGAAUUGACGGUACCUGACUAAGAAGCCCCGGCUAACUACGUGCCAGCAGCCGCGGUAAUACGUAGGGGGCAAGCGUUAUCCGGAAUUACUGGGUGUAAAGGGAGCGCAGACGGCAGUGCAAGUCUGGAGUGAAAGCCCGGGGCUUAACCACGGGACUGCUCUGGAAACUGUGCAGCUAGAGUGCAGGAGAGGCAGGCGGAAUUCCUAGUGUAGCGGUGAAAUGCGUAGAUAUUAGGAGGAACACCGGUGGCGAAGGCGGCCUGCUGGACUGUAACUGACGUUGAGGCUCGAAAGCGUGGGGAGCAAACAGGAUUAGAUACCCCAGUAC